Vicia villosa (hairy vetch) is the source of this 683-nucleotide long non-coding RNA. RefSeq lists it as uncharacterized. Lineage: Eukaryota; Viridiplantae; Streptophyta; Magnoliopsida; Fabales; Fabaceae. The transcript has 6 exons. The record is from RefSeq and is a predicted model, not a curated record.
GAUGCGCGGGACUGAAUUGUCAAACAGAUUCCAUUUCGUGUCUUCCUCCCAUGUCAGCGGAGCGACAAUUGAUAGAGAACCGGAUUCAGUUAGACAGUGCUUAGUCGAGAGAUUCAUGGCCACCGACAAUACAGAAAGCUUGUAUCUUUGGGUGUAUAAUACUCGACCAAUAGGAGCACACUGGUUGUUGCUUGCUAUCGAUCCUAUAAAAGAAGUGGUCUAUUAUCUGAAUUCGGUAGAUGGUGAGUGGACUAAUUAUCCGGAUAUGAAGUCAAUGAUUGAUAGAUCAAUAUAAGUAUUCCGAAGUCAAAGAGACGCACAGGUAUCACGGACUAAAUCAAACAACAUUACUUGAAUCAAAGUGCAGUGUCCGCAACAGCGAAACAGUACAGAUUGCGGAUACUUUGUUUUGAGGUUUUUGAAAGAAAUCCUUCAAAUGAAUCAAUUACAGAUUCCAAUCACGUACUUUGAUGAAUUCUAUUCUGCUUCUUACACGAGACUUAAGUUGGAAGAAAUCAAAGAGGAAUUGUGUCAAUUUUAUAUUCAGCAAAGAUUCAUAUAGGACCAGGACCGUCCGCUCGUCGGAUUUUCAGAAUUUCGGGAUUAUUCUGAUUUAGUUACGUUAGAGAUGAUUUAGUUAUAUGUAUCUGUUGCAAACAUAUGUGAAUUGAAUUAUAAUGGUG